ACUUAAAUUGAAGAGUUUGAUCAUGGCUCAGAUUGAACGCUGGCGGCAGGCCUAACACAUGCAAGUCGAGCGGUAGCACAGAGAGCUUGCUCUCGGGUGACGAGCGGCGGACGGGUGAGUAAUGUCUGGGAAACUGCCUGAUGGAGGGGGAUAACUACUGGAAACGGUAGCUAAUACCGCAUAACGUCGCAAGACCAAAGUGGGGGACCUUCGGGCCUCAUGCCAUCAGAUGUGCCCAGAUGGGAUUAGCUAGUAG
This 256-nucleotide ribosomal RNA is filed under the name Klebsiella pneumoniae. Its description in RNAcentral is "partial 16S ribosomal RNA". It matches the Rfam family "Bacterial small subunit ribosomal RNA", at positions 1 to 251 of the family's 1533-position model. Lineage: Bacteria; Pseudomonadati; Pseudomonadota; Gammaproteobacteria; Enterobacterales; Enterobacteriaceae. The record is from RNAcentral.